CCUACGGGGGGCUGCAGUCGAGGAUCUUCGGCAAUGGGCGCAAGCCUGACCGAGCGACGCCGCGUGUGCGAAGAAGGCCUUCGGGUUGUAAAGCACUGUCGAGGGGAAGAUCGACCCCUGGAGGAAGCACGGGCUAAGUUCGUGCCAGCAGCCGCGGUAAGACGAACCGUGCGAACGUUGUUCGGAAUCACUGGGUUUAAAGGGCGCGUAGGCGGGCUGUCAAGUCGGUGGUGAAAUCUUUCGGCUCAACCGGAAAAUCGCCUUCGAUACUGGCGGCCUUGAGGGAGGUAGGGGCAUGCGGAACUUCCGGUGGAGCGGUGAAAUGCGUAGAUAUCGGAAGGAACACCGAUGGCGAAAGCAGCGUGCUGGACUUUCUGACGCUGAGGCGCGAAAGCCAGGGGAGCAAACGGGAUUAGAUACCCUUGUAGUC
Molecule: ribosomal RNA, 430 nt
Filed under: uncultured bacterium
Lineage: Bacteria
Description: partial 16S ribosomal RNA
Rfam family: Bacterial small subunit ribosomal RNA
Source: RNAcentral